Molecule: long non-coding RNA, 670 nt
Organism: Vanessa atalanta (red admiral)
Lineage: Eukaryota; Metazoa; Arthropoda; Insecta; Lepidoptera; Nymphalidae
Exons: 3
Source: RefSeq, a predicted model, not a curated record
UCUGAAUCGCAGGGCUUAAUCUUUGAGCUAACAAGGUAAGCUCCAGCUCAAAGGUCGCUAGAAGCGUGGACAGCUUCUUAGAAAGUGUUUGAGUAUUUGGGCAGUAUCAGUAUUUGCAGCGCUUGAGUAUUUGGGCAGUUUCAGCGGCAGCAAUGGCUUUACGGGACGUGCUCUGGAUAUGAGAUACUGCCAGUGCGUCUAUGUCAAGUUGCAUCCCACACAAGGACAUGUCCCAUCGAACAUGGUACUAUUGUUGCUCCAUCAGGUCUAUUGCCAUCAUCUCUGUAUAAACCGUUUGGUUCUAAAGUGGCACGGAUCGAUCCUGUGGUCAAGGGAAACAAGUCAGGCUCGCACAUCUAUAAACCUAAAUGAAGGCAUAUGGGGAUAAAUUUCGUUGCCCGAUGAAGUAUUUCCCUUAGAUUUUUGGAAGGGAAAGACUGAAGUCAGUAGCCUGACUCCUUUUUAGACGCAGCAAGCAGUCGUGCACGGUCUUUUCUGAGGUACACUGGGACGGGAGCAGUCCGUGUGUUAUUCUAGCUCGGGGUUAAUUCCAUAGUCUCUGGCAAUCCGUGUCUCACGGAAAGACUUCAUCAAGCAACGCAAAACACUCCUAGCUGUCAUAGUCUCCACAAUAUCCUUCACUACAACGACAAUCGAACUUGAAAAAAAA